GAUGAACGCUGGCGGCGUGCCUAAUACAUGCAAGUCGAGCGAACGGACGAGAAGCUUGCUUCUCUGAUGUUAGCGGCGGACGGGUGAGUAACACGUGGAUAACCUACCUAUAAGACUGGGAUAACUUCGGGAAACCGGAGCUAAUACCGGAUAAUAUUUUGAACCGCAUGGUUCAAAAGUGAAAGACGGUCUUGCUGUCACUUAUAGAUGGAUCCGCGCUGCAUUAGCUAGUUGGUAAGGUAACGGCUUACCAAGGCAACGAUGCAUAGCCGACCUGAGAGGGUGAUCGGCCACACUGGAACUGAGACACGGUCCAGACUCCUACGGGAGGCAGCAGUAGGGAAUCUUCCGCAAUGGGCGAAAGCCUGACGGAGCAACGCCGCGUGAGUGAUGAAGGUCUUCGGAUCGUAAAACUCUGUUAUCAGGGAAGAACAUAUGUGUAAGUAACUGUGCACAUCUUGACGGUACCUAAUCAGAAAGCCACGGCUAACUACGUGCCAGCAGCCGCGGUAAUACGUAGGUGGCAAGCGUUAUCCGGAAUUAUUGGGCGUAAAGCGCGCGUAGGCGGUUUUUUAAGUCUGAUGUGAAAGCCCACGGCUCAACCGUGGAGGGUCAUUGGAAACUGGAAAACUUGAGUGCAGAAGAGGAAAGUGGAAUUCCAUGUGUAGCGGUGAAAUGCGCAGAGAUAUGGAGGAACACCAGUGGCGAAGGCGACUUUCUGGUCUGUAACUGACGCUGAUGUGCGAAAGCGUGGGGAUCAAACAGGAUUAGAUACCCUGGUAGUCCACGCCGUAAACGAUGAGUGCUAAGUGUUAGGGGGUUUCCGCCCCUUAGUGCUGCAGCUAACGCAUUAAGCACUCCGCCUGGGGAGUACGACCGCAAGGUUGAAACUCAAAGGAAUUGACGGGGACCCGCACAAGCGGUGGAGCAUGUGGUUUAAUUCGAAGCAACGCGAAGAACCUUACCAAAUCUUGACAUCCUUUGACAACUCUAGAGAUAGAGCUUUCCCCUUCGGGGGACAAAGUGACAGGUGGUGCAUGGUUGUCGUCAGCUCGCGUCGUGAGAUGUUGGGUUAAGUCCCGCAACGAGCGCAACCCUUAAGCUUAGUUGCCAUCAUUAAGUUGGGCACUCUAAGUUGACUGCCGGUGACAAACCGGAGGAAGGUGGGGAUGACGUCAAAUCAUCAUGCCCCUUAUGAUUUGGGCUACACACGUGCUACAAUGGACAAUACAAAGGGCAGCGAAACCGCGAGGUCAAGCAAAUCCCAUAAAGUUGUUCUCAGUUCGGAUUGUAGUCUGCAACUCGACUACAUGAAGCUGGAAUCGCUAGUAAUCGUAGAUCAGCAUGCUACGGUGAAUACGUUCCCGGGUCU
This 1372-nucleotide ribosomal RNA is filed under the name uncultured bacterium. RNAcentral's name for it is "bacterial SSU rRNA". It matches the Rfam family "Bacterial small subunit ribosomal RNA", at positions 28 to 1381 of the family's 1533-position model. The record is from RNAcentral.